AUCAAACCAUAUAAUAGAAUUUAUAGCAAGCCAUUUAUAUAUUUGUAUUCUGUUCCAUCCAAGUUCAGAGGUAAGAGAUGCUCAUUAAAGCACAAUUUCGGAACCAGAAGAAGUUCAUCAAAAUCCCAGAGGCUUGCUUUGACAUAUUCAUAGAGGAGGGUGAGUGAUGUACAAAGAAAACUUGUUUUUUAUUCAGUUUCUUUCCAUAUAUAUUUAAAAGGAAAAUAAAAUUGACUUCUUGCCUUGCAGUGAAAGAGAAUUUCUCAAUACCUGAAGAUGUUGCAGUUACAGUUACAGAUGAAACUGGAACAGAGGUGGAUAAAGAUGUGUUUCCGGAUCUGGCAACCACCAGUGGAUUAAUUUUUGUCAUAAAUGAUUAAAUGCGGGGUGAGAUGGACCUUCCACACCUCGAUCUUCAGUCAGCUUAGAUACAGAUACAGUGUCUGUAACUUCAAAAAGCAGCGAGGACAGUGACUGGUUUAGUCCAAAACGAUUCAGACAGGAUGAGGAUGAGGCUUCAAAGAGCUCACAGGCCAGAGAUUUGAUAAAACAAAUUCUACGGAAAAGACCGGGUGGGGCAAAUGUACUGAAGGAAUAUGAAGAUACAGGGACAAUUAGCGAUGAAAUGAGAAAAGUGAUGGUGAACAUCCUAGUUGCACACAUGACAGAGACAGAAG
Misgurnus anguillicaudatus (oriental weatherfish) is the source of this 677-nucleotide non-coding RNA. NCBI's taxonomy places the organism in Eukaryota, Metazoa, Chordata, Actinopteri, Cypriniformes, Cobitidae. The record is from RefSeq and is a predicted model, not a curated record.